Molecule: long non-coding RNA, 1551 nt
Organism: Eurypyga helias (sunbittern)
Lineage: Eukaryota; Metazoa; Chordata; Aves; Eurypygiformes; Eurypygidae
Exons: 2
Source: RefSeq, a predicted model, not a curated record
CACUCUCAUGUCCUGCUCUUCUGUGUCAUGCAGGACCUGGGUUCUCCGGCGAUAGAAGAACAAGUUGAUCAGCCUACAAUAGAUGAUGAGACCGUGCUUAUUGUUCCUUCUUCCCAUGGUUUUAUCCAGACGACGGAUGAUAUCGACGGUGAAUCAGUCCUGCCCCUGACAACUCUAACAGAUCCUAUCCUACAGCAUCACGGAGAUGGGUCACACAUUAUUGGCUCAGCGUUGGGCAGUCCUGACUCGGAAGAUUCGAAGGACGUUGAAGACUUAGUGAGCUGUCACUGAGAAGCAGUAGUCGUGUCCGUUUUCUAUUGACCGUGUUUGCAUUGUGAAAUUAGUUACAACCCUGUGCCACAUUUCCAAAGAAAGCAGUCAGUCCGUGUCUUCAAACAGAAACUUCCGGUUUGACGUGGCUACAGUGCACUUUCUCUGCUCAGGCUGUUUACCUCAUUUGUAAAGGGUUACAGAGCAGCCAACUGAAGCCUGGUGUACUGCGUCUCAGCCAGGGUGUCUCCGUGUGGUGAAGAAUCCCUGUUGCAGUGCUCACUGCUAGGAUCCACGUGGUCAGCUCUCAUCUGACUUGUUACUGGUGUGCUGAACCGCGCAUCCAGAGAACUGGACAGAAGUCAAGGAUUGUGGACUGUAGCCUCUCGGUGCCGCAGCAAGAAGUAGUUUGCACAUGGUUCGUGAAGAGUGGGUGAGGAUUCCUGCACUUACUGACUUUCGUAAUACGUGGAGUAAGAGACUGUUACACUUCAGGAAGAAUGUAUUCCAUCAAAGCCUUCAGGGAGCAUGGGCAGCAUCGUGAAGAAAUGGUCUGUGUUCCCGUCUCAUCUGGCUUGUUAGUACGUCUGCGGCACAGGACUGGACACAGAUGCUUAUGGGACUCGCCUGGUCUGCUUGUUCCUGAGGAGCCCGUUGCUGGCAACGGACAGAGCUCGGAAAGAUCACUUGUGAAAAACUUUUUUUAAUUAUUUUUUAUUUUCUUUUCUUUCAUCACUACAGCAAGCUGUGUAAAAAGGGAAGGGCUAUGAGAAAGGGAAGCUACUGGGACCCACCAGCCUCCCCCCACAAGCUUGUAACGUCUUUGGAGGUCGUCGUGAGUAGGCUGGAACAAUGUCUCUCGCUGUUUACAUGACACUACCAGCCACCUCUCCGGAGGUGAUUUAGGCAGCAAGUCAGUAGAUGUGGCGUGGUGAGGAGGGGACAGCGUCUUGGAGAAAUAGCUCUGUGAGAAUUUGGGCACAGGGCCUCGGGGGCACAGGAAGCCAGUUAAUUCCUGCCUUCAAGGGUUUGAAACAGACACUAGGCUGAGCAGCAGCCUGUUAGCUAGGGAUUGAGAGAAAAAGCUAUAGAAACUAAAGACUCAUGUAUAAAUUAUUUUAUUUAUUUCUGUAAUUAGCUCUUCAUAAUCAAGAGUUGGUCUUUUUCAGUCUGUGGUUUUGUUAAUGUGAAAAAUAAGUUGUAGUUUCAAAUGGUUGCCUAGGGAACAGAAAUAAUUGUAUAUUCAGUUUAAACGAAAUAAAGAGUAUUUGUCUUACGUAA